GGAGCCGGAUUCGUCCUGGUGGGCGACGCGGCCUUCAAAGCCGUCGUGAGGGGUGAAGAACUUCUCGGGUGUGUUCGAUUCGCACACGGUUCCGCCA
This 97-nucleotide transfer RNA is filed under the name Coriobacteriia bacterium. RNAcentral describes it as "tRNA-Sec". It matches the Rfam family "Selenocysteine transfer RNA". The record is from RNAcentral. Lineage: Bacteria; Bacillati; Actinomycetota; Coriobacteriia.